Paramuricea clavata is the source of this 470-nucleotide non-coding RNA. Lineage: Eukaryota; Metazoa; Cnidaria; Anthozoa; Malacalcyonacea; Plexauridae. The record is from the annotation of a GenBank genome assembly.
GUUUACGGUAUUAUAUAUCACAUAUUUAACAAUAAACACAUUAUUUUUUAUAUUAUAUUACAUUAACAUAUAUACAACAUGGAGCACAUAUAAAGUCUUUAAAUGACAGUACAUUGUGUUUGUAAUUAUAAUUAAUAUAAUUACUUGUGUCAAAAGUAAGAAAUGAAGUGAACAAAUCCAUAUAUAUUUGUUGAAAAAUUCUUGCAGUGGGUAUCUUCCUUUUGCUUUUCAUGCUUCACACUGUGUAUCUUUGAACAUUUAAUCAGCAACUAAUUAUAGGCAAGGAUAUAUUUACUAGCUCAUUUCUCCAUAUUACCAGGUACAUAACAUGCAAUAUAUCAACCUUGCAAUCCAUGCUUUAACCCCUGCAGUUGCCCCCUCUCCUGCAGCAUGUUUGGGAAGGGAGAGGAAGGAAUGGAGGUACUGUAAUAUCUAUAUUUAGCUCCCUUCUCUUCAAGCUCCUCUCCAAU